GAUGAACGCUGGCGGCGUGCCUAAUACAUGCAAGUCGAGCGAACAGACGAGGAGCUUGCUCCUCUGACGUUAGCGGCGGACGGGUGAGUAACACGUGGAUAACCUACCUAUAAGACUGGGAUAACUUCGGGAAACCGGAGCUAAUACCGGAUAAUAUAUUGAACCGCAUGGUUCAAUAGAGAAAGACGGUUUUGCUGUCACUUAUCGAUGGAUCCGCGCCGCAUUAGCUAGUUGGUACGGUAAUGGCUUACGACGGCAACUAUGCGUUGCCGACGGCACUGGGGGGUCGCCCACAUUGGAACGUGAACACGCACAAUGCGCCUGCGGGAGGCAGCAGUAUGGAAUCUGCCGCAACGGGCGAAAGCCUGACGGAGCAACGCCGCGCGAGUUAUGAAGGUCUUCGGAUCGUAAAACUCUGUUAUUAGGGAAGAACAAAUGUGUAAGUAACUAUGCACGUCUUGACGGUACCUAAUCAGAAAGCCACGGCUAACUACGUG
RNAcentral lists this ribosomal RNA (497 nucleotides) under uncultured bacterium. RNAcentral describes it as "partial 16S ribosomal RNA". It matches the Rfam family "Bacterial small subunit ribosomal RNA", at positions 28 to 507 of the family's 1533-position model. The record is from RNAcentral.